GACGAACGCUGGCGGCGUGCUUAACACAUGCAAGUCGUACGGUAAGGCCCUUUCGGGGGUACACGAGUGGCGAACGGGUGAGUAACACGUGAGUAACCUGCCCACAACUUUGGGAUAACGCUAGGAAACUGGUGCUAAUACUGGAUAUGUGCUCCUGCUGCAUGGUGGGGGUUGGAAAGCUCCGGCGGUUGUGGAUGGACUCGCGGCCUAUCAGCUUGUUGGUGGGGUAGUGGCCUACCAAGGCGGCGACGGGUAGCCGGCCUGAGAGGGUGACCGGCCACAUUGGGACUGAGAGACGGCCCAGACUCCUACGGGAGGCAGCAGGGGGGAAUAUUGCACAAUGGGCGCAAGCCUGAUGCAGCAACGCCGCGGGCGGGAGGACGGCCUUCGGGUUGUAAACCGCUUUCAGCAGGGACGAAGCUUUUUGUGGCGGUACCUGCAGAAGAAGCACCGGCUAACUACGUG
RNAcentral lists this ribosomal RNA (465 nucleotides) under uncultured bacterium. RNAcentral's name for it is "partial 16S ribosomal RNA". It matches the Rfam family "Bacterial small subunit ribosomal RNA", at positions 28 to 507 of the family's 1533-position model. The record is from RNAcentral.